UUACUAUAGCUUGACACUGAACAUUGAGCCUUGAUGUGUAGGAUAGGUGGGAGGCUUUGAAGUGUGGACGCCAGUCUGCAUGGAGCCGACCUUGAAAUACCACCCUUUAAUGUUUGAUGUUCUAACGUGGACCCGUUACCCGGGUUGCGGACAGUGUCUGGUGGGUAGUUUGACUGGGGCGGUCUCCUCCUAAAGAGUAACGGAGGAGCACGAAGGUUGGCUAAUCCUGGUCGGACAUCAGGAGGUUAGUGCAAUGGCAUAAGCCAGCUUGACUGCGAGCGUGACGGCGCGAGCAGGUGCGAAAGCAGGUCAUAGUGAUCCGGUGGUUCUGAAUGGAAGGGCCAUCGCUCAACGGAUAAAAGGUACUCCGGGGAUAACAGGCUGAUACCGCCCAAGAGUUCAUAUCGACGGCGGUGUUUGGCACCUCGAUGUCGGCUCAUCACAUCCUGGGGCUGAAGUAGGUCCCAAGGGUAUGGCUGUUCGCCAUUUAAAGUGGUACGCGAGCUGGGUUUAGAACGUCGUGAGACAGUUCGGUCCCUAUCUGCCGUGGGCGCUGGAGAACUGAGGGGGGCUGCUCCUAGUACGAGAGGACCGGAGUGGACGCAUCACUGGUGUUCGGGUUGUCAUGCCAAUGGCACUGCCCGGUAGCUAAAUGCGGAAGAGAUAAGUGCUGAAAGCAUCUAAGCACGAAACUUGCCCCGA
Molecule: ribosomal RNA, 702 nt
Filed under: Salmonella enterica subsp. enterica serovar Muenchen
Lineage: Bacteria; Pseudomonadati; Pseudomonadota; Gammaproteobacteria; Enterobacterales; Enterobacteriaceae
Description: partial 23S ribosomal RNA
Rfam family: Bacterial large subunit ribosomal RNA
Source: RNAcentral